AGAUUAAGCCAUGCAUGUGUCAGUAUAAAUAACUUGUAUUUAUGAAACUGCGAAUGGCUCAUUACAACAGUUAUAAUUUAUUUGACAAUGACAAUGUUAUAUUUUGAAUAGAAAUAUAAUUUACUACAUGGAUAGCCGUAGUAAUUCUAGAGCUAAUACAUGCGAGAAUUCAUUUUUCUUUUUGUUUUUCGGAAUGGAAAGAAGGGUGGGUUUGAAAAAGAUCCGACUAAAGGUGUUUCAGCAAUGAGACACCCUUUGGGAAGGAUUGUAUUUAUUAGAUCGAAAACCAUUAGGAAUAGUUUAAAUGUUUGAUUCUAUAUGGAUCAAAAACUUAUUUCGGCAUAUGUUUGAAGUCUCGCAAGAGAUGGAUGGCAUGUGUCCAUUGUGAAAGAUAAUGGUGAUUCAUGAUAAAUGUCGAAUUGCCAGGGUGGGUUAAGAGCCCAUCGUCUUGGCAAUGUGUCAUUGAAAUUUCUGACCUAUCAACUGAUGAUGGUAGGAUAGAGGCCUACCAUGGUAUUGACGGGUAACGGAGAAUUAGGGUUCGAUUCCGGAGAGGGAGCCUGAGAGAUGGCUACCACUUCCAAGGAAGGCAGCAGGCGCGCAAAUUACCCAAUCCCAAUCAAUGACGUAUAUGGGGAGGUAGUGACAAAAAAUAACAAAGCGGGGUAUCUAAUGGUAUUCUGCUAUUGGAAUGGUUUCAAUGUAAAUGCUUGAAAGAGAAACAAUUAGAGGGCAAGUCUGGUGCCAGCAGCCGCGGUAAUUCCAGCUCUAAUAGUGUAUACUAAAAUUGCUGCAGUUAAAAAGCUCGUAGUUGGAUUUUGGAGUUUUUAAUUGUUCGAGGGGGCGAGAUGUUUCUCUAUACUUAGUCCUGCUUCAUUUUUCCUUUUUUUAAAUUAGCUUUCGGGUUGAUUUAAAAUUGGGAAGUGAAGUGAUUGGAGGGUAUUAAUGAGGGGAUAUUUGAAAAUCAUGGUAUUGUUUUUAAUCUUGCAUCAAGAUUUAUUUCUUGGUGUUUGAUUGACUCAAUAUCUUUCAUUUAUCUUAUGCUUGCCUUGAAUUUGAAUAACCUCGAAUCCCUUUUUGAGAAGUCCUUGUGGCUUAUCAAAAAAGGGGUAAAUGUUUUCGAAAUUAUUAAUAUAUCACUUAAAUGUUGAUUUAUAUUAAUCGUUUCUCUUUGUCAAAGAAGAGGAAAAUUUCGGAGAGUUUACUUUGAAGAAAAUGGAGUGUUCAAAGCAGGCGUUUUUUUUGUAAUGAAAGAAAUUCGCUACUGAACACAUUAGCAUGGAAUAAUAAAAUAAGACACCUGAUGUGUUUUAAAUUUGAUAAUGAAGAAUAUAAUAAGGAAACUUAUUUAUUUUUUUUGUUAUCAAACACAUUCGAGUCUUAAACAAAAUGAAAGAGGGAUUUAUUUCUUUUUUGUUUUGUUUAUCGAUUUGAGUUUUAUUGGUUUUUGAAACAGGUGUAAUGAUUAAGAGGGACAGUUGGGGGUAUCUGUAUUGCAUAGUCAGAGGUGGAAUUCUUGGAUUUAUGCAAGACAAACAAGUGCGAAAGCAUUUGCCAAGGAUGUUUUCAUUAAUCAAGAACGAAAGUUAGGGGAUCGAAGGCGAUCAGAAACCGCUCUAGUCUUAACUAUAAACGAUGCCAACUAGGGAUUGGAGGGAAUUUAUUUUUUUAAUUCGCUUUUCCAAUAUAUUCUAUCUUUAACGAGAUAGGGUUUGGGAUUUAUCACAAGAAAUUGUGAAGUGAGUUUGCUUUUAAAAUUAUAACAAAAAAAUGAAAGAGGUAACUUUGGUUAUUGUCGUUCUUUUUUUGUUUUUAAGCCCCAUCAGCACCUUUAGAGAAAUCGAUUAAGUCUCUGGGUUCUGGGGGGAGUAUGGUCGCAAGUCUGAAACUUAAAGAAAUUGACGGAAGGGCACCACCAGGUGUGGAGCCUGCGGCUUAAUUUGACUCAACACGGGGAAACUUACCAGGUCCAGACACGGGAAGGAUUGACAGAUUGAUAGUUCUUUCUUGAUUCCGUGGGUGGUGGUGCAUGGUCGUUCUUAGUUGGUGGAGUGAUUUGUCUGGUUAAUUCCGAUAACGAACGAGACCUCAACCUGCUAAAUAGGGUGAUAAUUUUGAAAAGUGUCUGUAAGGUGGCUUUGCGAUCUUUUUCUCAGUAGUUCUCUCUCGGGAGGAUUGUUGAGAAAGUCGGGAAGUUGUCUGAGAUCUUUUAAUGGUUAAUAUUGAAAUAUAUAUUUUGAGAUAGCUCAUUAAGCUUUCAGGAUGAAUGUCUUAGCAGUUUCGGCUGUUGGAACAGUUGUUUUGGAAGUGAGUUAUUGAAAUUAUCAUUAAAAUAUUUCGAUAUGGAUUGUAAUUCUCUUUUAGUUAAUUAAUUUCAUCAUGGCUCUUCACGGGGUUGUGGUGGAAGGCUAAUGGGGCUCUGGAUCUAUAUUCGAACCUACUUAGAGGGACUACCAUGGUUGCACAUGGGGGAAGCAUGAGGCAAUAACAGGUCUGUGAUGCCCUUAGAUGUUCUGGGCCGCACGCGCGCUACACUGAUAAAGUCAACAAGUUGUUUUUGGGUGUGUUAAAUAAAAAAAAUAGUGUUUUUGUUUUCAGGGCUUCUUAAUCGGGGCUUUGAAAAAGGGAUGCUAUUUUUUAACACAUGCAAUUCCCUUAUCCGAAAGGAUUGGGUAAUCUUUUGAAACUUUAUCGUGAUGGGGAUUGAUCUUUGUAAUUUUGGAUCAUGAACGAGGAAUACCUAGUAAGUGCAAUUCAUCAGAUUGCGCUGAUUACGUCCCUGCCCUUUGUACACACCGCCCGUCGCUCCUACCGAUUGAAUGAUCAGAUGAAAUGUCUGGAUUGUUGGAUCUUGUGAGGGUUUCGAUUCUCUAGGAUUUAAUUAGAAGGACAGUAAAUCUUAUUAUUUAGAGGAAGGAGAAGUCGUAAC
RNAcentral lists this ribosomal RNA (2929 nucleotides) under Monocercomonoides exilis. RNAcentral's name for it is "partial small subunit ribosomal RNA". The stretch from base 558 to 2929 matches the Rfam family "Eukaryotic small subunit ribosomal RNA". Lineage: Eukaryota; Preaxostyla; Oxymonadida; Polymastigidae. The record is from RNAcentral.